Unclassified non-coding RNA from Pongo abelii (Sumatran orangutan), 148 nucleotides. It matches the Rfam family "Metazoan signal recognition particle RNA". From Rfam's summary of the family: The signal recognition particle (SRP) is a universally conserved ribonucleoprotein. The record is from Ensembl. Lineage: Eukaryota; Metazoa; Chordata; Mammalia; Primates; Hominidae.
GCCAGGCAUGGUGGUGCAUGCCUGUAAUCCCAGCUACUUGGGAGGCUGAGACAGGAGAAUUGCUUGAACCUGGGAGGCGGAGGUUACAGUGAGCCGAGAUCACACCACUGCACUCCCGCCUGGGCGACAGAGCGAGACUCCGUCUCAA